Long non-coding RNA from Aethalodelphis obliquidens (Pacific white-sided dolphin), 1617 nucleotides. RefSeq lists it as uncharacterized. The transcript is spliced from 3 exons. The record is from RefSeq and is a predicted model, not a curated record. NCBI's taxonomy places the organism in Eukaryota, Metazoa, Chordata, Mammalia, Artiodactyla, Delphinidae.
CAUGGGGUGAGAGUUCCCCAGAUGUGUUCCUAUGAUCUUGAAGUCUGUCCAUAGCAAGCAUGUGACACUUGCCUGGAUCAUCAAGUUUCAGAGUACCUGUAAAAGUAGACCAGGGUAUCUCUUCUUCUGGCUACGCUCUGUGGGUGGACCCAAGCUGGAGGGUACAGUUACCUGAGACAUCUUCUCCUGGCAGAGGUCAGAAGCGCCUAGUCCAUCACCUCGCUAAAUUGUUAGGAGCGGAUCAGAAGUUCAAAGCUGCUUAUGGUCGUCUUGCAUCUUCAAAUCAUGCACAGAAUGAUGCCCUACCAGAUUCUAACCCAGAAAAGUUUGACACCUUGACACAUGCAUUCUUUGGCGACCAAUGGCGUGUACGCGGUCUUGGCUCAUCUGAAGACCCCUUGUUGAUUUUGCAUCUGGACAUAGUGGGCCAACAUUUUAUGAUGUACAAGGUGUCACUAAAGCCUGCACGGGCUCCUUCGAUCAUAGGAAGAUGACAGGUCUCAUUGUUCCUGCAGGGGAGCAGACACAGACACCAAAUGAUUUAACUCUUUCAAGUGAGUAACAUCCUGAUUUGGCUUCUGCUUUGGAAGAUGAGCUUCCCUAAGCUACAUAGAAUCAAGUAAAAACUGUAUUAUCAGUAAAUGUUUAUUGACUCUGCCCCAAUCCCCUCCAGACCUUCAUUUCUUCUCUAUGAUAACAAGCAUAACUUUCUCCGUAAAACAACUACAUCAGUGUUAAGAGUCUUUGUUAUUCCCAUGAAGUGUGUCUACAUUAGCUGCUUUAAAGUUUCUUCUGAAUCAUUGCUUUAAAACAUAUUCCCAGACAACUUUAGAAAGUAAUAUUCUAUUUUUUAUCCUAUACCCACUGAUGUGCUGUACAGAAAAACCCCAAACUUGUCUUGUAUUAGAACAAUGUUGUUGACAUUGAUGAAAUUCCAGAAAGGGAUUAUAUGAAGACUUUAUCAUCCAGAACCAUGCAAAAAGCUUAGACUUUUGGUGGUUAAAAAAAAAAAAAAGGCAAUAUCUUCAUCAUAUUCAAAACAACCUGGUAACAUUUCCCUAUAUAUGUAAAACACAAUGAUAUAUGGAACUUGCACUGUUUUCAAGCAUUUUUGUAUGCAUAAAAACAAAGUAACAAAAAUGAUUAUAUACAGGUAAUUUUACAAAAGAACACUUUCCUCCAUAUCAGUUUGGUGAGCUCUCACCAGGACACAGUAUCCUGUACUGUUUCAUAAAUUUAGGGCAGAGACUCUAUAAUACUCAAACUUGUAACUUCAGGAGGAAGUGCUUGGAAUAUUGUAGAUAGUCAACAAAUGCUUAUGAAAUAAAUAAGUGAAUAAAUAUCUAGGUAUACUAUUUGGCUGUAUUUAGCACCAUUGCUCUAAAAACUAACAACCUAUUCCAAAUUAUAAGCAAUGCCUCUAUUAGAGGAAUGUCUCUAAGGGUCUUUCUCCUGAAAUUAAGAACAACAACUAUUCUUCCUAGUUGUAUUUUCAGGUAAUACUAUACUAGGUUACACCAAACUUACUCGCUUAACCAGAUCACAGCAAAGCAAAAUCAUUUUCUUUUUUUUUUUUAUCUUUAUUGGAGUAUAAUUGGUUUACAAUGGUGUGUUAGU